This 417-nucleotide ribosomal RNA is filed under the name uncultured cyanobacterium. RNAcentral describes it as "bacterial SSU rRNA". It matches the Rfam family "Bacterial small subunit ribosomal RNA", at positions 356 to 789 of the family's 1533-position model. The record is from RNAcentral. Lineage: Bacteria; Bacillati; Cyanobacteriota.
GGGGAAUUUUCCGCAAUGGGCGAAAGCCUGACGGAGCAAGACCGCGUGGGGGAUGAAGGUUUGUGGAUUGUAAACCCCUUUUGAUUGGGAAGAAUACUGACGGUACCAAUCGAAUAGGCCUCGGCUAACUCCGUGCCAGCAGCCGCGGUAAUACGGAGGAGGCAAGCGUUAUCCGGAAUUAUUGGGCGUAAAGCGUCCGUAGGUGGUUUAGUAAGUCUGCUGUUAAAGCGCGGGGCUUAACUCCGUAUCGGCAGUGGAAACUACUAGACUAGAGUGUGGUAGGGGUAGAGGGAAUUCCCAGUGUAGCGGUGAAAUGCGUAGAUAUUGGGAAGAACACCGGUGGCGAAAGCGCUCUACUGGGCCAUAACUGACACUGAUGGACGAAAGCUAGGGGAGCGAAAGGGAUUAGAUACCCCU